GUGGGUAUAGCUCAGUUGGUUAGAGCGCCGGAUUGUGGUUCCGGAGGUCGCGGGUUCGAAUCCCGUUACUCACC
RNAcentral lists this transfer RNA (74 nucleotides) under Planctomycetaceae bacterium. Its description in RNAcentral is "tRNA-His". It matches the Rfam family "tRNA". Rfam says of the family: Transfer RNA (tRNA) molecules are approximately 80 nucleotides in length. Their secondary structure includes four short double-helical elements and three loops (D, anti-codon, and T loops). Lineage: Bacteria; Pseudomonadati; Planctomycetota; Planctomycetia; Planctomycetales; Planctomycetaceae. The record is from RNAcentral.